RNAcentral lists this ribosomal RNA (469 nucleotides) under uncultured bacterium. RNAcentral's name for it is "SSU rRNA". It matches the Rfam family "Bacterial small subunit ribosomal RNA", at positions 26 to 518 of the family's 1533-position model. The record is from RNAcentral.
AGGACGAACGCUGGCGGCGUGCUUAACACAUGCAAGUCGAGCGGAAAGGCCCUUCGGGGUACUCGAGCGGCGAACGGGUGAGUAACACGUGAGCAACCUGCCCUUAGCUUCGGGAUAGCUCCGGGAAACCGGAAUUAAUACCGAAUAUGACCAAGGCCGACAUCAGCCUUGGUGGAAAGUUUUUCGGCUAGGGAUGGACUCGCGGCCUAUCAGCUAGUUGGUGAGGUAACGGCUCACCAAGGCGACGACGCGUAGCCGGACUGAGAGGUCGGCCGGCCACAUCGGGACUGAGACACUGCCCGGACUCCUACGGGGGGCUGCAGUAACGAAUCUUCCCCAAUGCACGAAAGUGUGAGGGAGCGACGCCGCGUGGAGGAUGAAGUCCUUCGGGAUGUAAACUCCUGUCAGGGGUUAGAAAGUUCUGAUCAACCCCAGAGGAAGGCACGGCUAACUCUGUGCCAGCAGCCGC